This 444-nucleotide ribosomal RNA is filed under the name Plectostoma crassipupa. Its description in RNAcentral is "Opisthostoma crassipupa partial 16S ribosomal RNA". It matches the Rfam family "Bacterial large subunit ribosomal RNA", at positions 1944 to 2604 of the family's 2925-position model. Lineage: Eukaryota; Metazoa; Mollusca; Gastropoda; Architaenioglossa; Diplommatinidae. RNAcentral also lists the same sequence under 1 other name. The record is from RNAcentral.
GACUGUGCAAAGGUAGCAUAAUAAUUUGUCUUUUAAUUGGAGGAUGGAAUGAAUGGUUUGACGAAGAUAGAGCUGUCUCACAUAUAUUUAUUAAAAAUUGAUUUUUAGGUUAAAAGGCCUAAAUUUAAUUAAAGGACGAGAAGACCCUAUUAAGCUUGAAGGGAGUACUUAAUUUUUGCUAUAAUAUGAGAUGUAAGUGUUGAGGGCAAAAUUUUAGUUGGGGCGACUUGGGAGCAGUAAAAACCUCCUUUAGGUUGGACAAAAUUUAAUUUAUGGCCCAAAAUUUUUGAGUUAAGAAUAAGUUACUAUAGGGAUAACAGCGUGGUUUUAUUUGAGAGUUCUAAUCGAAAGUAAAGUUCGCGACCUCGAUGUUGGAUUAAGAAGUAGUAAAGGUUGCAGAAGCUUUUAUAAUUAGUCUGUUCGACUAUUAAUAUCUUACAUGAU